UUCCUUCUGAUUUGUCUCUUUCUAAUCUAUUAACACUGCUCUGUUGUCGGCGGUCACAAUCUUCUAUAUCAAUCAGUUCUCCGCCGGAAUCAAAAACAGUGAAAUUUCGGUUGGUCGUCAAGUUUCUCCGACCCGUAGAACCCUAAUUGCAAAAGCAUGUUGUUUCAAUCUUCCUCAAGAACCUAUUCUCUCAGAGGCUCUCAAGGUACUCUUUAUCCCUAAUUAUUGUUGUGUGUUCUUGGAGGGUUUACGUGAUUGUUGAUGUGUCUUGCGAUGUGGUUGUUUAGGAGCCAAUUGCAUUUGUGGGUGGGAUGUUUGCUGGACUACUCAGACUCGAUCUAAACGAUGAACCGCUUAAGGAAUGGGUGACGCGAACUGUUGAAGCCUCUGGUAUUACAGAAGAGGAUGUCGGUGGAGAUGGGAUGGCCUCCAAUGAAGAAGAAUCUCCUCAACAGAUUGAGAUUGAAUGAGGUCAUUGUCCUUUAGUAUGGUUGCCCUUGUAUAUGUAUGUGUUGUCUAUGUGAGAAGAAAAACAUAUACCCAAAGAAGAUUGUCUUCUUGGAAAAACCUAAGGCUUUCAAUCUUGAUUGAUAUCUUGCUCCUAGGUGAUGAAAACACUAAGAGAGUGGUCAUCUUGUAGUAGAACUGAAAGAAUAUUACGAUUCACUAUCUAUCAUCAUCAUCCAUAGUCUUAGUCUCUAAAUCAGAAUAACUAGACUCGUCACUCGGUUCACCUGCCAAGCACAGAUUAUUUUCAUAACAAAAUGACUGUAUUUUUGAAAAUACAUUCACCAACUGCGAACUAUCUAGCAUAGCAGUGACUUGACAGAACCAGUUGGGAUUCCCUAGUUUCAACUUCGUCACUGUGGCCUCGCGUUUGUGUAUAUCAACUACACUUAUCGGAUUCUUCAGGCUUUAUGAGAACUUAGUCUUGUUGGUUGGUUAGCCAUUUGAUUUACGCAGCCCUUGCUAGACCAGCUAGGCAUAACGUGAUUCAUUAUGCUAUUCAUCAUCCAACUGCUGUCUGGUUUGUUGGCCGUCAUUUAACUGCGCUCACUGGGAUCGUUUUGCAAAGAAGGUAGUUGACGAUUUACUGAUGUAUUAUUAAGGGCUUCAUAAUUUAUACUCAUACUAAUGUUCUUGAUUUGCAUUUUUUCGUCUGCAGGACUAUGUUAGGGAAAGCUAGAAGCUGACCUUCUUACGUUCAUCAUACCUUCAGUCCUCAGACAUUUGGUAAUGUAUUUUAUUCGAUUAAGAUUGUCAUAUUUUAGUUACCUCAGUAUCACAUCCUUGACACUUGGCUAAGCCGGUUUUUCCUGAGAUCAAAUAAAGACCAUGUCAUACACGGCCAACUUAGCGAGUAAUCUGAUACAUUCAUUUCUCUGAAGUUAGAGCUUCUCUUUUAACGAAAUUGAGAAUUGAUUGGCCUGGCCUUAAAUUAGAAAAUUGUGUUUGCAAAGUGGUCUGGUGAAUGAUGAGGCAAAACUGCUGUUGCUAGGAUCAUGGAUGGCACUCUUUGUAGUAUUUUCUGGACGAAAAAAAUGACACAGCUUAUAAAAAAAUCACACAGCUUAUGAACUUUUUGCUUACUAAAGAUUUUAAUAUGCUAGUUUCAAAAGAGGUCAUGUUUUUUAUACAAGUAUCAUCAAAAUGCUAUAAUACUAAUAAUCUUCAAUCUUGCCUGUUAUUAUGUUGAUGACUCUUUUUCGGAAGAUGAGAUCAAGGCUGUAGUUGCAAAACCCCAGCGAGAGUAAGACUGAUUUUGCAAAAAUGUUGGUAACUAUUUUCAAGAAGAGAUAAAAUCUUGUAUUCGUAGAUCUCUAUGUUUCACAAAAAUAUCAUUUUGGUGUUUUUUAUUUGUUAUACAAAAAGUAUAGCUUUAGAUUUCCAAUGUAAUUUAUACAUAUUCUAAAUUUAAUAUCAAUUGCAAAAUACACUGAUAUUUCGAACAAUAUUGGUUAAAUAAAUAUAAUCAUUAAAAUAUAUAUGAAUUCCAGUUAUUUUAUUAAUUUGUGUGAACCACUCAUUUUGAAACGGAAGUAUUAUAAUACCAACUAGAUUUUGAUCCGCGCAACCGCGCAGAUGUUUGUUUUCACUUUUCUAUACAUAAAUUAUUGUUUUAGAACAUAAGUGUAUAUAUUUUUAACGUUAACCGUAUACUUAAAUAUUUAUAUAACUAUUUCAAAUACAAUAAUUUUAUAAUUUACAUGUUAUAAUUAAUCAAUUGUUUAAAACCGUCUAUAUCUAUCACUUCUUAUUAUAUUUUUAUCUUAUUAUAUUUGCAUUUAGUUAUUAAGGAAAUUAAUAUAUUCAUGAGAAAACAUAUUUGAAAAUUAUUUUGUAUUUAAUUUAUGCUAAAUUCAAGAAAUUAUAAUGCCAUUUCAUAAUUUCUCAAAGUCGUGUCAUUUUUUUUUUGGUGAUAAUGAACAUGGUGAUGACACAUAAGAAAAACACAUCUCAAAUAAUGUUUAGGCUAUACUUAAUAUAUUUAUACUAGUUAUACUCGUUUUAGUUUUACUAGUUGUACUAAUUAGAGUUGUGCUAGUUGUAUUAGUUGGAGUUGUACUUGUUGUACUAGUUGAAGUUGUAUUAGUUGUACUAGUAAUACUCUGCGUUCUUAUUUAUCUUGAAUCUCGUAUGUAAAAGAUGAAAUUUGAUUUUGGAUAAUAUAUAAUUGACUAAAUCUUUCUAUGAGUUAGAUCAAUUUGAGAUAAGAAAGUGAAAAUUAGUGGAUGGUUGAAGAAAAUUUUCGAUUUUGUUUUAUGGUGAAAGAACUAAUAAUGGAGAAGAAAAAGGGAAGAAGAAGAAACUUUAAGUUAAAGUUAGGUUGAAUUUCGGGUCUGAAACCGGGUCGGAUUCUGGGUAGGAUAGUAAUGGCAUAGGUUAGUAAAUAUGUCUAAGUCUUUAGGUUUUUUUAGUUAGAUUUCUAUUUAAAUUUUAAUGUAAAAAAAAAAGAAAAUAAAGAUGGGUCUAAUUCAGAUUUUCUGGAACCCAAAGGGUCCAUCCUAGCAUUUGUUUCGAUAUUUUCUGAGCAGAGGAAGAAGAAGCGAUGGGUUUCGUCCUAAUUUCUUCUUGUCCCCCGUUCUCCCUCGUCCUUAUCUCUCGGCUUCACCAGGUCUGUCUUCCUUCUGAUUUGUCUCUUUCUAAUCUAUUAACACUGCUCUGUUGUCGGCGGUCACAAUCUUCUAUAUCAAUCAGUUCUCCGCCGGAAUCAAAAACAGUGAAAUUUCGGUUGGUCGUCAAGUUUCUCCGACCCGUAGAACCCUAAUUGCAAAAGCAUGUUGUUUCAAUCUUCCUCAAGAACCUAUUCUCUCAGAGGCUCUCAAGGUACUCUUUAUCCCUAAUUAUUGUUGUGUGUUCUUGGAGGGUUUACGUGAUUGUUGAUGUGUCUUGCGAUGUGGUUGUUUAGGAGCCAAUUGCAUUUGUG
RNAcentral lists this long non-coding RNA (3427 nucleotides) under Brassica napus (rape). RNAcentral's name for it is "long non-coding RNA (BNAP_LNC019852)". The record is from RNAcentral. Lineage: Eukaryota; Viridiplantae; Streptophyta; Magnoliopsida; Brassicales; Brassicaceae.